CUUUCGUGUAAUUCAAGUCUUCUGCAUAUUUUCCCGUUUUGUGAACAGGUACUGGUGGAGAAUGGAACAAAAGCUGGGCACAGCCUUCUCAUGGAUGCCAGGGAUCUGGUCCUUAAGGGAAAAGAGAAGUCACCUUUGGACCCUCGACCUGGUUUUGUCUUUGCCCCGGUGAGUAUUACUUCUGCCUGUCCCACCACACAGAUCUGAACUUAGUCGUGGCCAGGAAAAGUAAGAUGGUAAAGCUAAGCCACUCUCCACUACUUUGUGUUCCUAUCCAGUUCCUACCUAAUAAUUCCCCUGGCUCUUCCUACCCACUGCUCCUGUCCUCCCUUCUCCCUGGCCCCUUUUGACUCUAUUAUUCUCAGUUUUUAAGUUUUGUGAUUGAUGGCUCUUUUGUCUUACCUCAUUUUUUUAUGUAUUCACAGUGUCCCCAUGAACUCCCUUGUCCCCAGUUGACCAACCUGGCCUGUAGCUUCUCACAGGCGUACCAUCCCAUCCCCUUCAGCUGGAACAAGAAACCAAAGGAAGAAAAGUUCUCUAUGGUGAUCCUUGCUCGGGGGUCUCCAGAGGAGGCUAAUCGCUGGCCCCGUAUCACUCAGCCUGUCCUUAAACGGCCUCGCCAUGUGCAUUGUCACUUGUGCUGUUCAGAUGGGCACAUGCAGCAUGCUGUGAUCACAGCCCGCCGGCACGGCAGGUAUGGGGGCUGUGACCAAAAUUAGUGGGAUGUGGCAGGAAGCUGCAGCCCACGCUAGCAUCUCGUUUCCACAGGGAUUUGUAUCGUUGUGCCCGUGUCAGCUCCUGGGGAGAUCUUUUACCUGUGCUUACUCCGUCUGCGUUUCCUCCAUCUACUGCUCAGGAUCCCUCUGAGAGUUGACGAGGAUGUGUAACAAGUAUUUUCUUCUAUCAUGCCUGCCAGGGCUGAAGCUGCCUGGUAUCCAGGAGGGGAAUGCUGGUAUCCCCAUAUGUCUGUGUUUGUUUGAGAUUUUUAA
This 989-nucleotide small RNA is filed under the name Pan troglodytes (chimpanzee). RNAcentral describes it as "retained intron". Lineage: Eukaryota; Metazoa; Chordata; Mammalia; Primates; Hominidae. The record is from RNAcentral.